RNAcentral lists this transfer RNA (77 nucleotides) under Thermoproteota archaeon. RNAcentral describes it as "Crenarchaeota archaeon (hydrothermal vent metagenome) tRNA-Ile". It matches the Rfam family "tRNA". From Rfam's summary of the family: Transfer RNA (tRNA) molecules are approximately 80 nucleotides in length. Lineage: Archaea; Thermoproteati; Thermoproteota. The record is from RNAcentral.
GGGCCCGUAGCUCAGCCCGGUAGAGCGCCCGGCUCAUAACCGGGUGGUCGGGGGUUCGAAUCCCCCCGGGCCCACCA